Molecule: long non-coding RNA, 375 nt
Organism: Bradysia coprophila
Lineage: Eukaryota; Metazoa; Arthropoda; Insecta; Diptera; Sciaridae
Source: RefSeq, a predicted model, not a curated record
GCUACCAACAGUUGAAAUUUUGUUAACAAAGUGUUGGUCUUCUAAUUGAUGUAAGCUUAAGUUUGUGUAAGUUAAUAAGAUGUCAUUUUCGGAAUUUCACCAACAUUUCCGCUAAAACUUUUCAAUUUUUCUUCAAUUGUUGAGAAUGAAUAUCCAUGCAAUGUUGGUUUGUACGGUAUUGUUUGGCUGUAUUUGGAUUCGUUUUGUGUCACUUUAUCAGGUGCAUCCUAAAAUGUACGGUCGAAGAAUCAAUAACAGAUGUUGGACCUGGAGAUGAUUUUAACUCUUUUAAUGGCCCAAAAGAUUCAUUCAAUACAAAAGAUAUGUUUCCGCUUUUUGCGGGCUCCGAGUUGGUUUUUGCAUUGGACCAGUUUU